This is a long non-coding RNA of Musca domestica (house fly), 578 nucleotides long. RefSeq lists it as uncharacterized. NCBI's taxonomy places the organism in Eukaryota, Metazoa, Arthropoda, Insecta, Diptera, Muscidae. The record is from RefSeq and is a predicted model, not a curated record. The transcript has 2 exons.
UUCAGCACUCGUACGUUUUGACUAAUCCGGAAAAAAAAUCAUUUCACAUUUUUGAAAUAAAAAUAUGGUAACUCCAUGAAAAAAAAAAGUCGUAAACAAAUUAUUGACAAUUAAAAAAGGAGUUUAAAUUGUUUUUUAUAAUAUAAACACCAAAAGUAAAAAAUGAAAGGGGCUUCAAUACUUGCUGUAAUGGAUGAAGAAAUAAAUCAGCGGUCUACUGAAAAAAUUCGUCGCCGGACAUUGAGGAACGCAUCAGAUCCUUUAUCUCACUCAAAUGCAGAAUUUAUAACUUAUUAUCGGCUAAAUAAAGAAGCUUUUGUUUUAGUUUUGGAAAAAAUUUCUCCCCACCUCAAACGUUCCAAUAUACCGGCUAUUAUCCAGCUUGCAACAACGCUUAGGUUUUUGGCUAUUCAGCAAAGCUGUCAAUUCCGUCCAUAGAGAAUCAACAACAACCUUAUCACCUUUUACAUAGCCCCUGGCAAUAUCGUGAUGUUUAUCCAUAAAAUUGAUAAAAAUUUUGUCCUGUUUAACGUUUCGGUGUUUGCCCCUAAAGUAUAAAAUAAAUUAAAUAAACAGUU